This 253-nucleotide ribosomal RNA is filed under the name uncultured bacterium. Its description in RNAcentral is "partial 16S ribosomal RNA". It matches the Rfam family "Bacterial small subunit ribosomal RNA", at positions 524 to 776 of the family's 1533-position model. The record is from RNAcentral.
GACAGAGGGUGCAAACGUUGUUCGGAAUUACUGGGCGUAAAGCGAGUGUAGGCGGUUUGGUAAGUCGGAUGUGAAAGCCCCGGGCUCAACCCGGGAAGUGCACUCGAUACUGCCAAGCUAGAGUAUCGGAGAGGUUGGCGGAAUUCUCGGUGUAGAGGUGAAAUUCGUAGAUAUCGAGAGGAACACCGGCGGCGAAGGCGGCCAACUGGACGAAUACUGACGCUGAGACUCGAAAGCGUGGGGAGCAAACAGG